UACAGAGGUCCCGAGCGUUGUUCGGAUUCACUGGGCGUAAAGGGUGCGUAGGUGGCAUGUUAAGUUUGAUGUGAAAGCUCAGGGCUUAACCCUGAAAUGGCAUUGAAUACUAGCGUGCUGGAGGUUUGGAGGGGGGACUGGAAUUCUCGGUGUAGCAGUGAAAUGCGUAGAUAUCAAGAGGAACACCAGUGGCGAAGGCGAGUCCCUGGACAACACCUGACACUGAGGCACGAAAGCCGGGGGAGCAAACAGG
Molecule: ribosomal RNA, 253 nt
Filed under: uncultured bacterium
Lineage: Bacteria
Description: partial 16S ribosomal RNA
Rfam family: Bacterial small subunit ribosomal RNA
Source: RNAcentral